Molecule: long non-coding RNA, 842 nt
Filed under: Populus trichocarpa (black cottonwood)
Lineage: Eukaryota; Viridiplantae; Streptophyta; Magnoliopsida; Malpighiales; Salicaceae
Description: long non-coding RNA (PTRI_LNC003138)
Source: RNAcentral
GACUUUGGCCUUCUCUUGAUUAUUUUUACCUGCAUUAUCCUGUUAGUCUGCCUGCUCUAGAAGAACUGCAUUGCAACCUGGAAAUACAUGCACAGCUAGACUGUGAGAUAUGAAAUGGAGAGUUUGUGAGGUGAAACUCUUGUUUUUAAAUUGCAGGAAUUUUUUUCCUAUAAAAAUUAACUUGCAAAAUGUGACUAUUGAUCUCUUAAAUGGGUUCUAAAAAUUUCAAUUUUUGUGGAAGCACCCAACUGUACGCAAUGGCGUGUCAAAUGCAUGGAUUUGUUCAUUAUCUGACCUGGGAGCUAUCGUGGUUUGGACAUGUCAUCUUAAAAUAGUCUCCCCAAAAUUGAACUGGAAUUCCUAUGCUUUCCAUAUGAUUUAGGUUAUAAUAGAGAACUUGUACCCUUUUGAACAUUUAAGUUAUUACUUUGAGGUGGCUGGUACAUUAUCAGUCCACAAUGGACUCUUGUUGUUUUGUUGCAAUUAGAUUGUUUUACAAUUUAUUUGACUUUCUUCAGGGAAAGAACACAAAGUUAAGCUUUUGUUAUGGCUGCCUCAUGGCGCAAGCUUGCAAGUUUGAUGGCUAAGACUCUGAUAAUGUUGCAAAUACGAUACUUUUUUUGAUAAUGUUGCAAAUAUGAUGUGUAGUUUAUGAGUAUCGAUGACAAUGUGUUAAUUUCUCAUUAUUGUAGUUUUAGAACUGCUGGAUAUAUUUUUUCUAAUAUUGCUGCCUCCGUUCUUUUGUUUGAACAUUUAGAAUUUGAGACGACUGAUUUGACUUUUAAGCUCACAGCUUUGCCUAUUUCGUGAUGGUUUCAGGUGUUGAGUGCUCCAUACCUCCA